GCUGGCGGCGUGCCUAACACCUGCAAGUCGAACGCGCUCCAUUCGGUAGCAAUACUGAUGAAGAGCGAGUGGCGAACGGGUGAGUAGCACGUGAGCAACCUGCCCCGAAGACCGGGACAACACCGGGAAACCGGUGCUAAUACCGGAUAUCCCUAUCGGACCGCAUGAUCUGAUAAGGAAAUGGAUUCCGCUUCGGGAGGGGCUCGCGGCCUAUCAGCUAGUUGGUGAGGUAACGGCCCACCAAGGCAUCGACGGGUAGCUGGUCUGAGAGGACGAUCAGCCACACUGGGACUGAGACACGGCCCAGACUCCUACGGGAGGCAGCAGUGGGGAAUCUUGCGCAAUGGGCGAAAGCCUGACGCAGCAACGCCGCGUGGAGGACGAAGGCUUUCUGAGUUGUAAACUCCUUUCAGCAGGGACGAUAGUGACGGUACCUGCAGAAGAAGCACCGGCCAACUACGUGCCAGCAGCCGCGGUGAUACGUAGGGUGCAAGCGUUGUCCGGAUUUAUUGGGCGUAAAGAGCUCGUAGGCGGUUUGAUAAGUCGGGUGUGAAACCUCCAGGCUCAACCUGGAGCCGCCACUCGAUACUGUCAUGACUAGA
RNAcentral lists this ribosomal RNA (602 nucleotides) under uncultured soil bacterium. RNAcentral describes it as "bacterial SSU rRNA". It matches the Rfam family "Bacterial small subunit ribosomal RNA", at positions 35 to 645 of the family's 1533-position model. The record is from RNAcentral.